ACGGAGGGUGCGAGCGUUGUUCGGAAUUACUGGGCGUAAAGGGCGCGUAGGCGGCCUGAUAAGUCAGAUGUGAAAGCCCACGGCUCAACCGUGGAAGUGCAUCUGAAACUGUCUGGCUUGAGUAUUGGAGAGGAAAGUGGAAUUCCUGGUGUAGAGGUGAAAUUCGUAGAUAUCAGGAGGAACACCGGUGGCGAAGGCGACUUUCUGGACAAAUACUGACGCUGAGGCGCGAAAGCGUGGGGAGCAAACAGG
This 252-nucleotide ribosomal RNA is filed under the name uncultured bacterium. Its description in RNAcentral is "partial 16S ribosomal RNA". It matches the Rfam family "Bacterial small subunit ribosomal RNA", at positions 525 to 776 of the family's 1533-position model. The record is from RNAcentral.